This 460-nucleotide ribosomal RNA is filed under the name uncultured bacterium. RNAcentral's name for it is "partial 16S ribosomal RNA". It matches the Rfam family "Bacterial small subunit ribosomal RNA", at positions 338 to 795 of the family's 1533-position model. The record is from RNAcentral.
CCUACGGGAGGCAGCAGUGAGGAAUAUUGGUCAAUGGACUAGAGUCUGAACCAGCCAAGUAGCGUGAAGGAUGACUGCCCUAUGGGUUGUAAACUUCUUUUAUCUGGGAAUAAAAUGUUCCACGUGUGGGAUGUUGUAGGUACCAUAUGAAUAAGGAUCGGCUAACUCCGGGCCAGCAGCCGCGGUAAUACGGAGGGUCCGAGCGUUAUCCGGGUUUAUUGGGGUUAAAGGGAUCGUAGGUGGAUUGUUAAGGUAGUUGUGAAAGUUUGGGGCUCAACCGUAAAAUUGCAGUUGAAACUGGCAGUCUUGAGUAGACUAGAGGUGGGCGGAAUGCGUGGUGUAGCGGUGAAAUGCUUAGAUAUCACGAAGAACUCCGAUUGCGAAGGCAGCUCACUGGAGUGCAACUGACACUGAGGCUCGAAAGUGUGGGUAUCAAACAGGAUUAGAUACCCUUGUAGUC